GUGAAUCAUCGAAUCUUUGAACGCAAAUUGCGCUCUCUGGGAAUAGUAAGCGUAUUUGAGGGUCAGUGUUAAUAAAAAUCGGGGUGUGGCUUCUUUGUGAUGCGCCGGAGUUUGGGUCAUCUUAAGAUACUUUGGGUUUUAAGAGGCGUAAGAUGGACUUUUUGGGCGCAGUGUAGAUGAACAUAAAUUCUGGUUUUUAGUCGUCUGUCUGAGUACUCAAAAUCCUAUUAGAUGCGACCAUAUCUUGUGGUUUCGUGUC
This 259-nucleotide unclassified non-coding RNA is filed under the name Rhizophagus sp. (in: glomeromycetes). RNAcentral describes it as "partial internal transcribed spacer 2". Lineage: Eukaryota; Fungi; Glomeromycota; Glomeromycetes; Glomerales; Glomeraceae. The record is from RNAcentral.